Molecule: long non-coding RNA, 468 nt
Organism: Corvus hawaiiensis (hawaiian crow)
Lineage: Eukaryota; Metazoa; Chordata; Aves; Passeriformes; Corvidae
Exons: 2
Source: RefSeq, a predicted model, not a curated record
GUAUGAUUUUAUUUAUUCUAGGUAAUCUGAUCUCUUCUAGGGGACCCAGUCCUGCAGUUAAGGUCCCUAAAUAAGUCUACUUCGAAUGCAGAGAGACCUGAGGAAGUGAAAGUGACCAGCUGCAAACCAGGAAUUCGACUAAAAGGCUUUGGGGAGCCAGCACACCACCUUGAGGCAUAGAUGCGCAAGUCAGUACUACUGUGUUAAAAACAGCAUCCUUACACCCGGCCCAGCAUGGGGAAAACAGGACAGCAAACAAACAAGUUGAAUCCUACUACCCUCUUUUGCAACUUUCUACUCAGUAAAGAAAUCCCUUUUCUGUAUCCGUUCAGAGCACAGCGACUCCAUGAUCCAUCUUAUCAUCUCAUCCUGACACCUGAUGUUUCUUCCAGAUUGUUACUCUAAGCUCUCAUAUCUACAAGUACAGUUGUACUUGUGGUCAAGUACAAUUCAAGUUUAAAUCUUAAA